RNAcentral lists this ribosomal RNA (229 nucleotides) under uncultured bacterium. RNAcentral's name for it is "partial 16S ribosomal RNA". It matches the Rfam family "Bacterial small subunit ribosomal RNA", at positions 568 to 796 of the family's 1533-position model. The record is from RNAcentral.
UGCGUAGGCGGAAUGAUUAGUCAGUGGUGAAAUCCUGCAGCUUAACUGUAGAACUGCCAUUGAUACUGUCAUUCUUGAGUACAGUUGAAGUGGGUGGAAUGUGUCAUGUAGCGGUGAAAUGCAUAGAGAUGACACAGAACACCGAUAGCGAAGGCAACUCACUAAACUGUAACUGACGCUGAGGCACGAAAGCGUGGGGAGCAAACAGGAUUAGAUACCCUGGUAGUCC